GAAGCUCUGCUCACCAGUGCUGGGAUUGACCAGGCGAGCAUAAGCUGCAGAACUGACCCCUCUCUCCUGAGGGCCUCAACCAGGAAACACACAUAGGCUCACUUUGGCUCUCUCAGCCUUCAGAGGAGACAGUCGUAAGGCAAGUUGGAUAGAGUCUACAAACUCCCAACUUUCAGACUGACGAAAAAUGUUUUGAAAAAUCUCCAGCCUGUAUAGUGUGAUGCAACUAAGAGGAAGAUCUUUAUACAGUGACAGGUAUUUUUAAAGAUUUAUCUCAAUUAUAUGCUUGUGCUCCCA
This is a non-coding RNA of Heterocephalus glaber (naked mole-rat), 297 nucleotides long. Lineage: Eukaryota; Metazoa; Chordata; Mammalia; Rodentia; Bathyergidae. The record is from RefSeq and is a predicted model, not a curated record.